This 400-nucleotide ribosomal RNA is filed under the name phytoplankton environmental sample. Its description in RNAcentral is "partial small subunit ribosomal RNA". It matches the Rfam family "Eukaryotic small subunit ribosomal RNA", at positions 587 to 983 of the family's 1831-position model. The record is from RNAcentral.
AGCUCCAAUAGCGUAUAUUAAAGUUGUUGCAGUUAAAAAGCUCGUAGUUGGAUUUCUGACGUGAGAAGCUCGACCAGGUACGAUAUACGUGCUUAGUGUUGAUGCAUCUCAGUCAUCCUUCUAGAAAUUGUGUCUUCAGUUAACGCUGAUGGGCUCAGGAUCUAGAUCUUUUACUUUGAAAAAAUUAGAGUGUUUAAAGCAGGCUUAUGCUGUGAAUACAUUAGCAUGGAAUAAUAACUUAGGACUUUGGUUCUAUUUUGUUGGUUUCUAGGACCGAAGUAAUGAUUGAUAGGGAUAGUUGGGGGUGCUAGUAUUCAGCGGCCAGAGGUGAAAUUCUUGGAUUCGCUGAAGACUAACUUAUGCGAAAGCAUUCACCAAGGAUGUCUUCUUUAAUCAAGAA